Molecule: ribosomal RNA, 573 nt
Filed under: Russula sp.
Lineage: Eukaryota; Fungi; Basidiomycota; Agaricomycetes; Russulales; Russulaceae
Description: SSU rRNA
Rfam family: Bacterial small subunit ribosomal RNA
Source: RNAcentral
CAGCAGUUCCCAAAAUAUUAGUCAAUGCUCGAAAGAGUGAACUAGCUACUGAAUCAAUUAAAAUAAUAAUUGAUAACAUAAGGGAAAAUAAUGAUAUUACCUUAUUAUUAGUGUCGUCCAAAACUGGUGCCAGAAGACUCGGUAAGGCCAGAGACAUAAACGUUAAUCGUCUUAAUCAGGCGUAAAGGGUUUGUAGGCGGCUUUAAAAUUUACUAAUAAACACAAAUUAUAAGUAAAGAAUAAAAGCUAGAAUCAAAUAGAGGAUAUAUGAAAGAAUGCUUAGAGUAGGUCCGAUAUCCUUAGAUACUAAGUAGAAUAUUAAAGGCGAAAGCUUUUUUCCAUUAAUGAUUGACGCUCAGAAACGAAGGUGAGGAUAGGAAAUAGGAUUAGAUACCCAGAAUACCCCUCUCUGUCAACGAUGAAUGGUAGUUAUUAGUAUAAAUUUAUUAAUGGCAAUGUUAACACGAUAACCAUUCCGCCUUGUGAGUACAACUGCAAAGUUGAAAACAAAAAAAUUAGUCGGUUUCGGAGCAAACGAAGUGAAGCAUGUUAUUUAAUUCAAUUAAAUCCGCA